Molecule: long non-coding RNA, 760 nt
Organism: Bombina bombina (fire-bellied toad)
Lineage: Eukaryota; Metazoa; Chordata; Amphibia; Anura; Bombinatoridae
Exons: 4
Source: RefSeq, a predicted model, not a curated record
GUUUGUGCCUUGGCUCGUUGCUCUACGCACCUUGCAAGGCAAUGAAAGAAACAAGGAUGUAAGAGGCCGGAUAGGUCAACAGAUCACAAGAAUCAACAGAGGAGUGGCAAGGAUGAAAAGGCUGAAAUUCCAGACUUCAAAACCCUGACCCGAGGAGGUAAUCAGCUGAUGGACCAGAGGCCUGAGAUGCAUCAUUGUACCAGAGAUAGACAGAAGCAAAUAAGCAGUAUAAAGCACAUAAAUGGUUAACCCAAAGACACAAUGUAAAACUGACUAACCUUCAAAAAAGGAGCAGGAAUGCAUUACUGGGAACUAGCUGAAGACAGGGGAGCCAAUGACAAGAGGCAUAUGUGCUGAGCCACCAAAUCACUAAGUGCAUUACCCACAGCCAAACAGAGAAAAUAAUUACUAAGCGUUUCAUUUUCCAAAUUAGUAAAUGGCUAUAGAAUGAUCUCACCUGUCACCUACCUCCCAAAUCAGUCACCUACAGGUUGCCCAGUGUUUUUGUGGAGGACAGUUGGCAACUCUAUUUGUAGAAGUUAAACACAUAGUAAAGCUCAGAUCAGUAAUGCAAAAAUGAUAUGCUCUAAUGAACCAUAGCAUAUAAAGUUAGUAUUAAAUUGGCCCUUUAAAUCUAACAAUGCAGAUCACUUGCCAGCAGGUCAGUACCUUUCUUGUGUCAGAAGACAUAACAUUCCCAUUAAUAACUUAACAAGUAACACACCACUGUGCUAGGUCUCUCCAGGAGAAAACACUUAGA